Molecule: microRNA precursor, 80 nt
Filed under: Marmota monax (woodchuck)
Lineage: Eukaryota; Metazoa; Chordata; Mammalia; Rodentia; Sciuridae
Source: RNAcentral
ACCUGAUGCCAGUAGCUCCCCUUCCAGAUGUGACAUUAAAAAAAUGUCACAUCUGGAAGGGGAGCUACUGGCAUCAGGUU